GUCUACGGUCAUGCCACCCUGAACAUGCUCUAUUUUGUCUGAUCUUGGAAGCUAAGCAGGGUCGGGCCUAGUUAGUACUUGGAUAGUAGACUACCUAGGAAUACCAAGUGCUGUAGGUA
Molecule: ribosomal RNA, 119 nt
Organism: Pteropus vampyrus (large flying fox)
Lineage: Eukaryota; Metazoa; Chordata; Mammalia; Chiroptera; Pteropodidae
Source: Ensembl